Molecule: non-coding RNA, 83 nt
Organism: Methanoculleus sp. SDB
Lineage: Archaea; Methanobacteriati; Methanobacteriota; Methanomicrobia; Methanomicrobiales; Methanomicrobiaceae
Source: Rfam
GCGAGGGUAGCCAAGAGGCCAACGGCGGUGGACUCAAGAUCCAUUCUCGUAGGAGUUCGCGGGUUCGAAUCCCUCCCCUCGCA